Molecule: ribosomal RNA, 839 nt
Filed under: uncultured marine bacterium
Lineage: Bacteria
Description: bacterial SSU rRNA
Rfam family: Bacterial small subunit ribosomal RNA
Source: RNAcentral
CCCAGCAUGAGCUAUACUGCAGUCGAGGGGCAGCAUCAUCGCUUGCGAUGGAUGGCGACCGGCGCACGGGUGCGUAACGCGUAUGCAACCUACCCUUUACAGGGGGAUAGCCCGGAGAAAUCCGGAUUAAUACCCCAUGGUACCAUAAAGUAGCAUUGCUUAAUGGUUAAAGAUUUAUUGGUAAAGGAUGGGCAUGCGUCUGAUUAGUUAGUUGGUGAGGUAACGGCUCACCAAGGCAACGAUCAGUAGGGGUUCUGAGAGGAUGAUCCCCCACACUGGCACUGAGAUACGGGCCAGACUCCUACGGGAGGCAGCAGUAGGGAAUAUUGGUCAAUGGGCGAGAGCCUGAACCAGCCAUGCCGCGUGCAGGAAGACGGCCUUCUGGGUUGUAAACUGCUUUUAUCAGGGAACAAAUAGUCCAUGCGUGGAAAGUUGCGUGUACCUGAAGAAUAAGCACCGGCUAACUCCGUGCCAGCAGCCGCGGUAAUACGGAGGGUGCAAGCGUUGUCCGGAUUUAUUGGGUUUAAAGGGUGCGUAGGCGGGACAUUAAGUCAGUGGUGAAAUACUUCGGCUCAACCGGAGAGGUGCCAUUGAAACUGGUGUUCUAGAGUACAGACGAGGUAGGCGGAAUUUAUGGUGUAGCGGUGAAAUGCAUAGAUACCAUAAAGAACACCGAUAGCGAAGGCAGCUUACUAGACUGUAACUGACGCUGAGGCACGAAAGCGUGGGUAGCGAACAGGAUUAGAUACCCUGGUAGUCCACGCCGUAAACGAUGAUCACUCGAUGUAUGCGAUACACCGUAUGCGUCCAAGCGAAAGCGUUAAGUGAUCCACCUGGGG